GCGAACGCUGGCGGCGUGCUUAACACAUGCAAGUCGAACGAUGACGACCGAGCUUGCUCGGUCUGAUUAGUGGCGAACGGGUGAGUAACACGUGAGCAACCUGCCCCUCACUCUGGGAUAACCUCGGGAAAUCGUGGCUAAUACCGGAUAUGAGCUUCUCCUGCAUGGGAGUUGCUGGAAAGUUUUUCGGUGGGGGAUGGACUCGCGGCCUAUCAGUUUGUUGGUGAGGUAACGGCUCACCAAGGCGAUGACGGGUAGCCGGCCUGAGAGGGCGACCGGCCACACUGGGACUGAGACACGGCCCAGACUCCUACGGGAGGCAGCAGUGGGGAAUAUUGCACAAUGGGCGAAAGCCUGAUGCAGCGACGCCGCGUGGGGGAUGACGGCCUUCGGGUUGUAAACCUCUUUCAGCAGGGAAGAAGCGAAAGUGACGGUACCCUGCAGAAAGAAGCGCCCGGGCUAAACUACGUGCCCAGCCAGCCCGGCGGUUAAAUACCGUAGGGGCCGCAAGCCGUUGGUCCCGGGAAAUUAAUUGGGGCCGUUAAAGAAGCUUUGUAAGGUGGGCU
This 566-nucleotide ribosomal RNA is filed under the name Brachybacterium sp. 316114/06. RNAcentral's name for it is "bacterial SSU rRNA". It matches the Rfam family "Bacterial small subunit ribosomal RNA", at positions 30 to 543 of the family's 1533-position model. The record is from RNAcentral. Lineage: Bacteria; Bacillati; Actinomycetota; Actinomycetes; Micrococcales; Dermabacteraceae.